AUGUAGCAGGGCUCAAUAUCAAUUGAUCAAAAGAAAAGACAGUGUGACUGUAUGCACUUAUUUAAAAGCUAAAAUUUGAUGCAUAGCUGUGCUAGAUCAGCUAUGAGCAGGCACAAAUAAACAAGCCAACAAAAUCCAGAAAAUAAAAAAAAAAUGCAAAAAGAAAAUUAAUUAACAAGGCAGAUCGUAGGUGGAACUUUGUAGGCUUGGGUCGUUGAACUGGCUUUAUAGUCAAAAGAUGGCAAGUAUAAACUGACAAAAAAAACAAGUAACCUAUUAAAAAUUGUCCCCUUCAUUAACAUUAGCUUUCUAAGAUGAACUUUUAUUUAAUAUACCAAUCCAAAUUUUGUAUCUAUCUUCUUGUCCAUUGAUGAAAGAAAUCACAUUGAGACAUCCUAUAAAAGUUAAUCUUAGAUACAACACCUGCGUACCCUGAAAAAAGUGCCCACCUCCCUGGCAUCGAAGUGUGAUAUAUACAAUCUAAUAACCUAACACUCAGUAAUCAGAAUAAAAACUGCAAGCGGUAUGUAUUCUAGAAGGGACAACAAAGGAGGGAGAACAAGAAAGGGAGACUGAAAAAGAAAUUGAGAGUUGCGAGCUACGAGCUGCCCCAAAUUGAGAUCAACAAUUAAGGGAAUGAUGCAUCCAAUCGAUCUACAUGUGAGCAGGAAACAAAAACAACGAAACAAUUAUAAGAUCAUGACCUAACAAAUUAACUAUAGCAACCAAAAGCAAGUGUGCCUUUACCCACUCAGAAAGAGAUCUUAUUCUAUCUAAUAUGCACUGCCUACAUACAUUCCAAGAAACAAACAACACUACCACCAAGGCAAGAAUUGGACAAGGAUUACUAUGGAAAACGACACUGGAACUCCAACUCUUUCUUUCCCAAACCUUCAUAAUUAAGAAAGGAAAAUCAUCUCUGAU
Molecule: long non-coding RNA, 924 nt
Filed under: Vigna radiata
Lineage: Eukaryota; Viridiplantae; Streptophyta; Magnoliopsida; Fabales; Fabaceae
Description: long non-coding RNA (VRAD_LNC013821)
Source: RNAcentral